CCUACGGGUGGCAGCAGUGAGGAAUAUUGGUCAAUGGCCGGAAGUCUGAACCAGCCAAGUCGCGUGAGGGACCACUGCCCUAUGGGUUGUAAACCUCUUUUAUAAGGGAAGAAUAAAUGCUACGUGUAGCAUGAUGCCUGUACCUUAUGAAUAAGCAUCGGCUAACUCCGUGCCAGCAGCCGCGGUAAUACGGAGGAUGCGAGCGUUAUCCGGAUUUACUGGGCGUAAAGGGUGCGUAGGUGGUUUCUUAAGUCAGAGGUGAAAGGCUACUGCUAAACCGUAUUCAGCUGUUGAAACUGGCGUGCUCGAGUGGGAGAGAAGUAUGCGGAAUGCGUGGUGUAGCGGUGAAAUGCAUAGAUAUCACGAAGAACCCCGAUUGCGAAGGCAGCAUACCGGCUCCACACUGACGCUGAGGCACGAAAGCGUGGGUAUCGAACAGGAUUAGAUACCCGAGUAGUC
RNAcentral lists this ribosomal RNA (459 nucleotides) under uncultured bacterium. RNAcentral describes it as "partial 16S ribosomal RNA". It matches the Rfam family "Bacterial small subunit ribosomal RNA", at positions 338 to 795 of the family's 1533-position model. The record is from RNAcentral.